This 2899-nucleotide ribosomal RNA is filed under the name Dinophyceae sp. TGD. RNAcentral describes it as "23S ribosomal RNA". It matches the Rfam family "Bacterial large subunit ribosomal RNA". The record is from RNAcentral. Lineage: Eukaryota; Dinophyceae.
AAAAAAUUAUGGUCUAUGGUGGAUACCUAGGUAUGGAGAGACGAUGAAGGGCGUGGUUUUCUGCGAAAAGCUUUGGUUAAUUGAGAACAAGUUAAGACCCAAAGAUUCCCGAAUCUACUAAAGUAGAGACACUUUUACUUUGAAUUCAUAACAGUAUAAGAGGUAACCUAGUGAAAUGAAACAUCUAAGUAACUAGAGGAACAGAAAGCAAAUGCGAUUUCCUUAGUAGCGGCGAGCGAAAUGGAACCAGCCUAAACUUCUCUUCAUUUAAAAGUAGAAGGGUUAUAAAGGAUUUUUUCACUAUUAAAUUUUAGACGAAACAGCUGAAUCCUGUACCAUAGAUGGUGAGAGUCCAGUAGUUGAAAAAAAAAAAUUAAGAAAUCCCGAGUAGCAUGGAACACGUGAAACUCCGUGUGAAUUUGCGAGGACCACCUCGUAAGGCUAAAUAUUUCUUCAUAACCAAUAGUUAAUUAGUACCGUGAGGGAAUGGUGAAAAAGAACCUCGAGAGAGGAAUGAAAAGAAUAUGAAACCAUAGUCUUUCAAGCAGUAGGAGAAUUUACAGAAUUUGACUUCGUGCCUGUUGAAGAAUGAGCCGGCGAAUUUUUAAAAGAGGCUAGGUUAACUAAAAAGCUUUAGGGAGCCGUAGUGAAAACGAAUUUGAAAUAAAGUGUUUGUCUUUUUUAAAAGACCCGAACUCGGGUGAUCUAACUAUGACCAAGAUGAAUCUUGGGUAAUACUAUGUGGAGGUCUGAACCGACCAAUGUUGAAAAAUUGGCGGAUGAGUUGUAGUUAGCGGUGAAAUACCAAUCGAACUCGAAGCUAGCUGGUUCUCCCCGAAAUGCGUUGAGGCGCAGCCGUAUAAAAUAUUUUGCUUACAGGUAAAGCACUGUUUCGGUGCGGGCUACAAAAGUGGUACCAAAUCGUGGCAAACUAAGAAUGGUGAGUAUAUUCUAUGUACGAGUGAGACUGUAGGGGAUAAGCUCUAUUGUCAAAAGGGAAACAGCCCAGAUCUUCAGCUAAGGUCCCUAAGUAAUGUCUAAGUGGUAAAAGAGGUGAAAUUGCAAAAACAACCAGGAGGUUUGCUUAGAAGCAGCUAUCCUUGAAAGAGUGCGUAAUAGCCCACUGGUAAAGCGAUUUUGCGCUGAAAAUGAUCGGGACUAAGACAUUUACCGAAGCUAUGAAUCCCCAACAACUUUUAAAAAGUUGGGGUUGGUAGGGGAGCGUUCUUUUUUGAGAGAAGCAUAAAGUGCGAACUUGUGUGGACAAGAAAGAAGUGAGAAUGUCGGCUUGAGUAACGAAAACCAGAGUAAGAAUCUCUGGCCCCGGAAAUCUAAGGGUUUCUUCACUAGGCUCGUCCUUGAAGAGUGAGUCGGAUCCUAAGGUGAGACUUUUUUUAGUGUAACUAAUGGAAAACUGGUUAAUAUUCCAGUACUUUGAUUAUCGCGUAAUUAACUGACGAAAAAAUAAAGUAGUAUUGAGACAUGGAGUCUCUAGAAAGAUAAACAGAUUGCCUUUUUUAAAAUCAAAAAAUAAAAAAGUUAGUUUUCAAGACACGUUGUUCUAUAUUAUAGAAAAAUGUUACUAUAAAGUUUUUCCAAGAAAAGGUUAACAUUUCGAUCGAAUAAUCAAAACCCGUACCCUAAACCGACACAGGUAGAUUGGUAGAGAAUACCGAGGGGCGCGAUUGAACUCUCUCUAAGGAACUCGGCAAACUGGCCCCAUAACUUCGGGAGAAGGGGUACCUUUUUAAAAGGUUGCAGUGACCAGGCUCAGGCGACUGUUUACCAAAAACACAGGUCUCUGCUAAGUCGAAAGACGACGUAUAGAGGCUGACGCCUGCCCAGUGCCGGAAGGUGAAAGAAGUUGGUUCUCUUUUUAGAAAAGCUAAUAACUGAAGUCCCGGUGAACGGCGGCCGUAACUAUAACGGUCCUAAGGUAGCGAAAUUCCUUGCCAGGUAAGUUCUGGCCCGCACGAAAGGCGUAACGAUCUGAGCGCUGUCUCAGAGAGAGGUUCGGUGAAAUAGAAAUGUCUGUGAAGAUCCGGACUACCUACACCUGGACAUAAAGACCCUAUGAAGCUUGACUAUAGUUUGGAGUAGUAUUUAGGCUUUAUCUGCGCAGUAUAAGUGGGAGGUAUUGACUCCUUCAUUUCGGUGAAGGAGGAACCGAUCUUGAGAUACCACUCUGGUAUAGCUCGAAUACUAACUAGAUUCCGUUUAUAUCCGGAUCUAGGAACACUUCAGAUGGGUAGUUUGACUGGGGCGGUCACCUCCUAAAGAGUAACGGAGGUGUACUAAGGUUCCUUCAGACUGGACGGAAAUCAGUUGUAGAGCAUAAAGGUAAAAAGGAGCUUGACUGCAAGGCCUACAAGCCAAACAGGAGCGAAAGCUGGUCUUAGUGAUCCGGCGAUUCCUUGUGGACGGGUCGUCGCUCAACGGAUAAAAGUUACUCUAGGGAUAACAGGCUGAUCUUUUCCAAGAGUUCACAUCGACGAAAAGGUUUGGCACCUCGAUGUCGGCUCAUCGCAACCUGGCGCGGUAGUACGUGCCAAGGGUUGGGCUGUUCGCCCAUGAAAGCGGUACGUGAGCUGGGUUCAGAACGUCGUGAGACAGUUCGGUCCAUAUCCGGUGAAGGCGUUAGAACAUUGAGAGGAUUUUUCUUUAGUACGAGAGGACCGAGAAAAACGUACCAAGAGUGUACCAGUUCUUAUACCAAUAGGAAACGCUGGGUAGCUAUGUACGGCACGGAUAAUUGCUGAAAGCAUCUAAGUAAGAAGCCUUCCUCAAGAUGAAUGUUCUCUAUGAAGUCUUGGUUAGAUAAGCCAUUUUCUCAGUAGCAAGUGUAUCUUUGGUAACAAAACAGCUGAGCUAUAUGAAUUGACUCACUGAAUUUGACUUU